GGGGUGUGAGAGCAUGGCCCCCCACAAUGGGACUGGAACACGGGCCAUACUCCUACGGGAGGCAGCAGCAGGGAAUAUUGCACAAUGGACGGAAGUCUGAUGCAGCGACGCCGCGUGGAUGAAGAAUGCCCUCGGGUUGUAAAAUCCUUUACAGGGGGAAGAGGAAGGACGGUACCCCUGGAACAAGUGUCGGCUAACUACGUGCCAGCAGCCGCGGUAAGACGUAGGACACAAGCGUUAUCCGGAUUUACUGGGCGUAAAGCGUCUGCAGGCGGACAGGUAAGUUGGGCGUGAAAGCUCCGGGCCCAACCCGGAGAGGUCGUUCAAUACUGCGUGUCUAGAGGGUGUCAGAGGGGAGUGGAAUUUCCGGAGUAGCGGUAAAAUGCGCAGAGAUCGGAAAGAACACCAAUGGCGAAGGCAGCUCCCUGGGGCAACCCUGACGCUAAGAGACGAAAGCUAGGGGAGCGAACAGGAUUAGAGACCCUGGUAGUCCUAGCCCUAAACGAUGGAUGCUGGAUGUGGGGCCAUAGCGCUCCGUGUCGAAGCGAACGCGUUAAGCAUCCCGCCUGGGGACUACGGCCGCAAGGUUAAAACUCAAACGAAUUGACGGGACCCCGCACAAGCAGCGGAGCGUGUGGUUUAAUUCGAUGCUACACGAAGAACCUUACCUGGGUUUGACAUCUAGGUGGUAGUGAAGCGAAAGCGGAGCGACCCUUCGGGGAGCCUAGACAGGUGCUGCAUGGCUGUCGUCAGCUCGUGCCGUGAGGUGUCGGGUUAAGUCCCGUAACGAGCGCAACCCUUGCCCUCCGUUAUACGUGUCAGAGGGGACUGCCGGCGGUAAGCCGGAGGAAGGUGGGGAUGACGUCAAGUCAGCAUGGCCUUUAUAUCCAGGGCUACACACACGCUACAAUGGCCAGUACAAAGGGCAGCGAAGCCGCGAGGUGGAGCGAAUCCCAGCAAAGCUGGUCGUAGUUCGGAUUGCAGGCUGCAACCCGCCUGCAUGAAGCUGGAGUUGCUAGUAACCGCGCGUCAGCCAUAGUGCGGUGAAUACGUUCCCGGGGUUUGUACACACCGCCCGUCACGCCAUGGGAGUCGAUAACGCCUGAAGCCGGUGGCCUAGCUCGGAAGAGAGGGCGCUGUCUAAGGCGGGGUCGGUGACUGGGACGAA
Molecule: ribosomal RNA, 1168 nt
Filed under: uncultured organism
Description: bacterial SSU rRNA
Rfam family: Bacterial small subunit ribosomal RNA
Source: RNAcentral